RNAcentral lists this ribosomal RNA (492 nucleotides) under uncultured bacterium. RNAcentral describes it as "partial 16S ribosomal RNA". It matches the Rfam family "Bacterial small subunit ribosomal RNA", at positions 29 to 507 of the family's 1533-position model. The record is from RNAcentral.
AGUGAACGCUGGCGGCAUGCCUAACACAUGCAAGUCGAACGGAAGCACAGUAAGAGUUUGCUCUUACGGGUGGCGAGUGGCGGACGGGUGAGGAAUACAUCGGAAACUAAUUUUUCGUGGGGGAUAACGUAGGGAAACUUACGCUAAUACAGCAUAUGAUCUACGGGUGAAAGCAGUAGAUAAUCGGACCUUGCGCGUUUGAAUGAGCCGAUGUCGGAUUAGCUAGUUGGCGGGGUAAAGGCCCACCAAGGCGACGAUGCGUAGCUGGUCUGAGAGGAUGAUCAGCCACACUGGAACUGAGACACGGUCCAGACUCCUACGGGAGGCAGCAGUGGGGAAUCUUCGGCAAUGGGCGCAAGCCUGAUCCAGCCAUACCGCGUGGGUGACGAAGGCCUUCGGGUUGUAAAGCCCUUUUGUUGGGAAAGAACAGCUGCAGGUUAAUCCCCCGCUGUUCUGACGGUACCCAAACAAUAAGCACCGGCUAACUUCGUG